AUGUGUGCUAAUUUCUCUCUACAUUCCAUAAGUUGCUCCACCUACCUAGCCGCGCAAGAUAGGGAGCACAAGUUCUUAUCGAUAGCGGUAGAAGAGGCCUACCGAGCGGUCGACCGUGGCCAUGGGCGCCCAUUUGGCGCGGUCGUGGUCCGCAACGACCAAGUAGUGGUCAGUUGCCAUAACAUGGCUGUGAAGAACACCGAUGCAACCGCCCAUGCCGAAGUUACUGCAAUAAGAGAGGCUUGCAAGAAGCUCGGGAAGAUCGACUUGUCGGAUUGCGAAAUGUAUGCAUCCUGCGAACCUUGCCCGAUGUGUUUCGGCGCUGUUCGUCUAUCCCGGAUCAAGAGGCUGGUGUAUGGAGCCACGGCAGAAGCUGCUAUUGCCAUGGGAAGCUGCUACCAGAGCGCCAACUUGGAGAUAAAGCGAGUGGAUGGGAAUGGAGCCCUGCUUGCUGAACAACUCUUUGAGAACACCAAGGGGAAAUUUCAAAUGUACUAA
RNAcentral lists this ribosomal RNA (498 nucleotides) under Triticum aestivum (bread wheat). Its description in RNAcentral is "partial small subunit ribosomal RNA". Lineage: Eukaryota; Viridiplantae; Streptophyta; Magnoliopsida; Poales; Poaceae. The record is from RNAcentral.